This 239-nucleotide ribosomal RNA is filed under the name uncultured bacterium. RNAcentral describes it as "partial 16S ribosomal RNA". It matches the Rfam family "Bacterial small subunit ribosomal RNA", at positions 15 to 245 of the family's 1533-position model. The record is from RNAcentral.
GAUCAUGGCUCAGGAUGAACGCUAGCUACAGGCUUAACACAUGCAAGUCGAGGGGCAGCAUGAACUUAGCUUGCUAAGUUUGAUGGCGACCGGCGCACGGGUGAGUAACACGUAUCCAACCUGCCGAUGACUCGGGGAUAGCCUUUCGAAGAAAGAUUAAUACCCGAUGGCAUAGUUCUUCCGCAUGGUAGAACUAUUAAAGAAUUUCGGUCAUCGAUGGGGAGUGCGUUCCCAUUAGG